GACGAACGCUGGCGGCGUGCUUAACACAUGCAAGUCGAACGGAAAGGCCCUGCUUUUGUGGGGUGCUCGAGUGGCGAACGGGUGAGUAACACGUGAGUAACCUGCCCUUGACUUUGGGAUAACUUCAGGAAACUGGGGCUAAUACCGGAUAGGAGCUCCUGCUGCAUGGUGGGGGUUGGAAAGUUUCGGCGGUUGGGGAUGGACUCGCGGCUCAUCAGCUUGUUGGUGGGGUAGUGGCUUACCAAGGCUUUGACGGGUAGCCGGCCUGAGAGGGUGACCGGCCACAUUGGGACUGGGAUGCGGCCCAGACUCCUACGGGAGGCAGCAGUGGGGAAUAUUGCACAAUGGGCGGAAGCCUGAUGCAGCAACGCCGCGUGCGGGAUGACGGCCUUCGGGUUGUAACCCGCUUUCGCCUGUGACGAAGCGUGAGUGACGGUAAUGGGUAAAGAAGCACCGGCUAACUACGUG
This 468-nucleotide ribosomal RNA is filed under the name uncultured bacterium. Its description in RNAcentral is "partial 16S ribosomal RNA". It matches the Rfam family "Bacterial small subunit ribosomal RNA", at positions 28 to 507 of the family's 1533-position model. The record is from RNAcentral.